GCCCCUCCGGCGGCCCCGCGUCCCCGAGGCCCGCGGGCAUCACCUGAAAGGAAUGCGGGAUGGGGGGAGGGCGAUAAGCGGCCGCCUUUGUCUGGUUUCCUGUUUGCCCGGACGUCCAGAGCCGGCUCCCCUGGCCCGCCCACCGGUCCUCAAGGAGUCAGGGCCGGCCGGUGGCCUUGGGACGAGGCCGAGCGGUGAUCCCCAGGACAGCGCGGGGGCGGCACCCUCAGGACGUGCUCCUUGGAAAAACCCAGUUCAGGGGCCGCUCGGCCUGGGAGAGGCUGGAAUUUUCUACCAGGAUCUUUGGCGGAAGCACAGAGGGCGGGGAAGGGAGGGGAACAGGGGCGCGGCCGGUCCGGAGGCUUCUGCUCGACUCCGCCCUGCGCACCCCAUUCCGAGCCUUGUGGGCCGAGCCCCUCCUUAGCCUGCUCCUCUGCUGGACGGUGGAGUCUGAGGAUGGAGGAUGGGGAGGCUCAGCAGGUGCAGCCCUAAUCGCUCCUAGCCACAUUUCUGCCUCAGUCCCCUGUUGUGUGGCUGGUGCCAGCACCUUGCCUUCUCUGUGCCAACCAUACAAAUUUUAAGACAAACCUGGGUUUGAAUCCUGGUCUGAACCACACUGGCUCUGUGUGGUAUUGGAUAGAAUUGCCCAUCCUUAAUGUGUUGGUGGGAGGAUUAAAUGACAAAGCAGGCUAACGUUUAGCUCAGUGCUUGGAACUUAAGGGCUCAAUAGAUAAUAACAGGUAUGAUCAUCUUAAGAGGUUGAGUGUGAUCCUGUAAUAGAAGUUUUUCAUAAUCAGUUAAGCACUUAUUAAUGCUUGACCACAAAUUUCUGACAACAUAUUAAUCUGAAUACAUCAAUUAUCUCAUUUAAGCCUUUUUAAACCCUGAAAUUUCUUUGUUUUGCGCAUAAGGGAACAAAAGUUUAGAGAAAGUCAUAGUAAGUGGUUGAGACAAUAUUCAAACCCCAGGCCUUUAAAUCCUCAGAAUCAUCAGCUCUACUAAUGGUAGUGUUAGUCCAGUGCUGCGUCCCAAGCCCUUACCCUGCCUAACAAAGUUGUGUGCAUCUUUUAAAACAAACUCAGUGGUCUCACCUGUGGAAAACCACCUUUGGCACCCAUCUUCUGCACCCCAGCGACCCUGGAACACAUGCCUGGCACAGGAAGCGCCUGCUGGCAGCUUCUCCCACAAAGGGAUAGGCCUCUGUCUUUCCUCGCUACCUAAUAAUCCACUUGGGCAUUCAUUCUGCUCUCCUGUGGGGCUCUGCAGGGUCCCAGGGCACCUGACUCUAGUCUUCCAGGGGCUGCUAACCUACUUCAUCACCUCCGGAGCACUGAUGCCUCCCGUCUUGUGACAUCUUGCCAAGCCCCAUUGCCCUGGGGCCCAUCACGGGAAAGGAAUUCAUGGCUACUCGGCCUGCAGCGCUUCAUUCAUGGUGGCUCACUGGAUCCUGCCCGUACCCCGUUUGCCUCUGUGUCUCUAUCUCUCCUGCCUUUCUCUCUAGGUUUUUCUGCCACCAGGAAGGGAAUGUGACGGGUGGUGACUCUUGAGCCUUCAGGCCACAGCUGUUGCCUGGAAGUCUUCUGAUGAGCCUGGUUCUGGUCAGGUGUCAAGCCCUGGGCCGUCACCUAUGAGGACAGGAUGUUCCUGGCUCAUAAUGUCCUCUCCAAAGUACAUCAUGCUCCAAGAUAGGCCAUAGAAGCCAGAAGUUCUUUGAAGAGAGUCACAGAACCCUGAUCUUCUUCCCCUGCCCUUCUGCCCUGGGCCAUCCUGGAAGAAAUCCUCUCACCUUUUCUUGUCUGAUUGUAUCUGGGGAGCAGGACUGGGCUGCACUCCUGUGCUCUCAGGAUGGAGAGGGACAACAAGGCCCUUGGCUGGAAGAAUGGAGAUGAGCGAACGAGACAGAGAUCAGCAGGAGGAGCCGAAACCUGGGCAGCAGUGCCUCCUGGUGGCAGGAUCUGAGCUGAGCACCUACUGUUUCCUUCGUGUUCCAGGAGGCUACAUGCUGACCAGCGCUGGGAACAGGCCCAUGAAGGACAAACUGUAGCCCCUCCCUGCACCAGUUUUAAGUGGACUCGCAAGCAGAGCCUCAGCAGGUCUUUCAGAUGGUUGCAGCCCUGACAACAGCAUGACUGCAACCUCCGAAAGUCUAAGCCACCAUCUGGAAGGUGUAGCUUCUGGGUUUCCAGCCCUAAGACAUUGUGAGAUAAUAGAUGUUUGUUGUUUUGAGCUAUUUGGAUUUGAGGUGAUUCGUUACCCUGUAAUAGCUAACUAUAUUCAUAAUAUACACAGUAAAUGGGAAACACAAAAUAAGAUUGCAGAAAUAAAUUUUAAAAUGCUCAUGUCCCAAAAAAGGAAACAGACCCAUUUUACCAGUCAACAGAUCAUGAGGGUGAAUGAAAAACCCAAAAUUCUGCUCUGUGCUGUUCAUGAGACACUUGACACCUGAAACAAAAAAUGAACAUAUUGAAAGCAAAGACAGGAAAAUGAUCCCUCAGAUCUGACCGUACUAUCACUGCUUGACCAAUGGUGAGUUCUGAAUCUUUUGGACCCAGUUGCCAGAUCCUGAUUUUUUCCAGGCAGGAGACAGAAAUCUGUUGAUCCCAACAGAGGUGUCUUCAUCCCAGAACCAAGUUAUUAUUCACAGUGUAAAAGUACCAGCCCCAAAGGGUGGAAAUGAUUUGGACUAAGCCAAUUUCAUUUCUUUUAGUCAGUGGUUAGGGAAAAGAUGUUCGUGACACCCAGUUCUGGAAAAUAAGAUAUAAGGAAAUAUCUGGGAAGGGUUUCCUUCCUUUUCCUUCCCUCCUUGGUUCACGGACACAGUGCCUGAUGGUAGAGCAGGCUUUGCAUCCUGACAACAGAUGUGAGCAGGAAGACCCUCAAGUGAAUCUGAUGAAAAGGGAUAACUAUAGUUAACAGGCAAACAUCCUUAGAUAGUCAAGGGCCUGGGGGGCAUAGCUCUGCAGCCGAGGGCUUACUGAGCUCUUGUGAGGUCCUGCGCUCCAUCUCCAGCAUAGCAACAGUAAGAGAGAAAGAAAUAAAAAAGAGUCUGAAACAAGAGAACCAUUUGGACCUUGGCUUACAGGACAUCCAGCAAUGCAAAGGGCCCAUCAGAAGAUGUCCCUCAAGUGCGCUGUCUCUCAUUGUUUUAAUGAUUUGUUGAAGAAUCUUAGAUUUCUACAUAAGCUAUAAGAUAACCCAUUUGUUUUUCCUUUUUAAUAGUUUACUUACUCACUUUAAUUUUUCUGAUUUCACAGGCUAGUAAAUCCAGUCAUUUGAAGAGAAGACCAUGACAAUGAAUAUACAUUUGUUUUUC
This is a long non-coding RNA of Fukomys damarensis (Damara mole-rat), 3313 nucleotides long. RefSeq lists it as uncharacterized. NCBI's taxonomy places the organism in Eukaryota, Metazoa, Chordata, Mammalia, Rodentia, Bathyergidae. The transcript is spliced from 4 exons. The record is from RefSeq and is a predicted model, not a curated record.